UUAUGAAACAAAAAAAUUAUGAAUGUAACAUUUCUCUUGUUCUCUCUCUUCCAGCUGGCAAGGUCAGAGAGCAGCGGUGGUGUUGCGGAGGGCUGCAGGGCUCAGAUCAGCGGUCCGCAGACAGAUAGCUCAUCUGCAGGAAGGAGUAGAGUCAGCAGCAGGCCUCAGGUCAAGAGAUUCUCUGGAAGUCUCGCCACACCUGUGUGUAAACGCUGACUGAUCUAGUUGAGGCUCUCUGUGGUCUGAUGUGGGGGUCUGGAACGGACACCUAAGUGGAUGUUAGUGCAUGGGUCAUUAGUUUGGCACUUUAGAGAUCUAAUUCCUUCAUCCUCAGCUCCCUCAUCCUCUUCCUCCUGGCUGCUUUACUAUUUACCUGUGACCUUUGCCCUCCUGGUGACCACCACUUCAUGCUCCACACGAGACGGAGCUACCUCACCAGUCUUCCACCAUCCCAACCCCAUCUGACACUGAAAGUACACCACUAAAGUACACAUAAGCCUCUUCUGUCAUAUCCCUGAUGAUACUAGACCUGAUCAGCCAGCUAGCAACUUCUAAGCAGUUUCAGCUGUUUCAUGCCUAAACGUUGAGGCAUGUUAUUUGAGGAUCGCCCCAUCAAUCAGUAAUGUGGUCCUAAUCAGCCUCGAAUGAGACGUGACAUUGUGGUCCCCACACUGUGAGAUCACUCACGUGGAGGUUAUCAAACAGGCUUCACGUUCCUCUCUAGUCGACUGACGUAGCGCCACAGUUUCUAUGCAACACGACGCUUGUGUGAUGUUGUGUGGCAUGUGAUCUUUGGCAGUUUGAUGCGAUACCGUUUUUUUUAAACUCCCUGAUAAACAAAGAAAUGUAUAAACAUUUUGUGCCUUGCAGUUACUAUAUUUUGUUACACACUGCUUCACCCCUGUUGUGUGUCCUGUGAUCGGUGAGAAAGCAGACGUGUGGCAAGGCUGAGAAUGACAAAUGGGCAUCUGUAAAUAUGUAAACUGUACAUUCAAACCCUGGUGUAUAACAAUGUCAUAUUACUUCAUGGUCGUGUUACUGUUUGUGUUACGUGACGUGGAUAAAUAGUUACUGUUAGACUGCAUGGUGA
RNAcentral lists this long non-coding RNA (1090 nucleotides) under Sinocyclocheilus grahami. RNAcentral describes it as "lncRNA (ENSSGRG00000030381.1)". The record is from RNAcentral. Lineage: Eukaryota; Metazoa; Chordata; Actinopteri; Cypriniformes; Cyprinidae.